GAUAGCAGCUGUCAGCAGUGCAGGAGGCUGGCUAUUAAGGGGAAACAAAAGUGUCAUUAGGAGUCCUGCUGUCACCGUGGGUUGAGUCUGCCUGCUGAGCCCUGAGGGUGGAGGCCUGGCAGUGGGGACCCCUAAGG
Oryctolagus cuniculus (rabbit) is the source of this 137-nucleotide non-coding RNA. The record is from Rfam. NCBI's taxonomy places the organism in Eukaryota, Metazoa, Chordata, Mammalia, Lagomorpha, Leporidae.